RNAcentral lists this ribosomal RNA (530 nucleotides) under Daldorfia horrida. RNAcentral describes it as "partial 16S ribosomal RNA". It matches the Rfam family "Archaeal large subunit ribosomal RNA", at positions 1904 to 2672 of the family's 2987-position model. Lineage: Eukaryota; Metazoa; Arthropoda; Malacostraca; Decapoda; Parthenopidae. The record is from RNAcentral.
AACAUGUCUAUUAGAAGAUAUUAACAGUCUAGCCUGCUCACUGAUAUAUUAUUUUAAGAGCCGCGGUAUUUUGACCGUGCAAAGGUAGCAUAAUCAUUAGCUUUUUAAUUGGGAGCUUGUAUGAAUGGUUGGACAAAAGAGUAGCUGUCUUUAUUAUAAAGGUUGAAUUUAACUUUUAAGUGAAAAGGCUUAAAUAAUUCAGGGGGACGAUAAGACCCUAUAAAGUUUUAUAGUUUACUUUUAUUUAACUUAAUUAUAAUUGUCAUAUAAAGGUUUAAUUGGAGGAAAUAUUUUGUUGGGGCGACAUAGGUAUAAAUAUUAUAACUGCUUAUAUAUAAUACAAUAAUGGUUGUGUAAUUAAUUGAUCCUUUAUAAAGAUUUAAGAUUAAGUUACUUUAGGGAUAACAGCGUUAUUUUUUUUGAGAGUUCAUAUCGAAAAAGAAGUUUGCGACCUCGAUGUUGAAUUAAAUGUCUUCUCAGUGCAGCCGUUGAGAGAAGAAGGUCUGUUCGACCUUAAAAUUUUUACGUGA